GUUAAUGGCAGGAGGCUGUGUUUGAUUUCUGCUUUAUGGGACAGCCAGGAAGAGAUAACGGUUUUGGCUAGCUGAGCUGAUUGCCCCUCAUCCUUACCAUGCACAGCUUUAUUCCUUCUUUACUAUAGCAUUGCAGUUAUAUCUCCCCUUUAACACACUGGCUGGAUAAUUAUAAAAUGAUUUUACUGUUUCUAAAACUACAGCCAUACCCAUCAAGCAUGACAACAGAAACCAGUGGUAGGACUCUGCCAGACAAGGGUGAAGAGGCCUGUGGAUAUUUCUUGAACCCUUCCUUAAUGUCACCAGAAUGUUUGCCAACAACCACGAAAAAGAAAACAGAAGACAUGAGUGACCUCCCCUGUGAAAGUCAAAGGAGCAUACCUCUCGCUGUGACUGAUGCUUUAGAGCAUAUUAUGGAACAACUCAAUGUUUUGACACAGACUGUUUCAAUCUUGGAGCAGCGACUGACUUUGACAGAGGAUAAGCUGAAAGACUGCCUUGAAAAUCAGCAAAAGCUUUUCAGUGCUGUCCAACAGAAAAGCUGAAUAAAAAAUUCAUUUUCAUUUGUUGGGCAGAGGCCCAAUAAAUGAACAAAUGUACAUACACUCAGGAAGGUAGUACAAGAUACUCCAUACAACACAACCAUGUGCUAUUUAUCAUGGCAUUUCUUAAAAGGGUGAGCAACAGAACAAAAGGCAGAAAAGGCAUACCUAAGGACUAAUUUAAACACAUAUCAAUGUGAAGGACUAAUUUAAAUUACUAUCAUUUAUGAUUGCAGUAAUAAAGUGAUAAGCAUUCAAGCAACUCUGUAUUUUCCCCAUAUUAUUUUAAAUGUCCAUUUUCAUUUAUAGGCCAAAUCCUGCCAGGAAAGUAACCAGAUCUCUGGAUUUCACUGUUAAGUCAUUUCAGAU
Molecule: long non-coding RNA, 911 nt
Filed under: Homo sapiens (human)
Lineage: Eukaryota; Metazoa; Chordata; Mammalia; Primates; Hominidae
Description: non-protein coding lnc-POC1B-1:6
Source: RNAcentral